Molecule: unclassified non-coding RNA, 316 nt
Filed under: plant metagenome
Description: partial contains 5.8S ribosomal RNA, internal transcribed spacer 2, and large subunit ribosomal RNA
Rfam family: 5.8S ribosomal RNA (bases 1-105)
Source: RNAcentral
GAAAUGCGAUAACUAGUGUGAAUUGCAGAAUUCCGUGAAUCAUCGAGUCUUUGAACGCACAUUGCGCCCCCUGGUAUUCCGGGGGGCAUGCCUGUCCGGGCGUCAUUACUGCCCAUCAAGCACGGCUUGUGUGUUGGGUCGUCGUCCCCUCUCCGGGGGGGACGGGCCCCAAAGGCAGCGGCGGCACCGCGUCCGAUCCUCGAGCGUAUGGGGCUUUGUCACCCGCUCUGUAGGCCCGGCCGGCGCUUGCCGAACGCAAAUCAAUCUUUUUCCAGGUUGACCUCGGAUCAGGUAGGGAUACCCGCUGAACUUAAGC